This 71-nucleotide transfer RNA is filed under the name Candidatus Woesearchaeota archaeon. RNAcentral's name for it is "tRNA-Gly". It matches the Rfam family "tRNA". Rfam says of the family: Transfer RNA (tRNA) molecules are approximately 80 nucleotides in length. Their secondary structure includes four short double-helical elements and three loops (D, anti-codon, and T loops). Lineage: Archaea; Nanobdellati; Candidatus Woesearchaeota. The record is from RNAcentral.
ACGGCUGUGGUCUAGUGGUAGGACACGACCCUCCCAAGGUCGUAGCCCGGGUUCAAAUCCCGGCAGCCGUA